RNAcentral lists this ribosomal RNA (484 nucleotides) under uncultured bacterium. Its description in RNAcentral is "partial 16S ribosomal RNA". It matches the Rfam family "Bacterial small subunit ribosomal RNA", at positions 30 to 507 of the family's 1533-position model. The record is from RNAcentral.
AUUGAACGCUGGCGGCAGGCCUAACACAUGCGAGUCGAGCGGAUGAAGGGAGCUUGCGCCUGGAUUCAGCGGCGGACGGGUGAGUAAAGCCUAGGAAUCUGCCGGGUAGUGGGUGGUAACGUCUGGAAGCGGGCGCGGAUACUGCAGGCGUCGUGAUGGUGAAAGAGGGGGAGCGUCGGACCGCACGGUAUCAGGUGGGCCUAGGUCGGAUUGGCUAGUUUGUGGGGUAAAGGCCUACCAAGGCGAGUAUCGGUAACUGGACUGAGUGGAUGGUCGGUCACACUGGAAGUGAGACACCGUCCAGAGUCCUACGGGACGCAGCAGUGGGGAAUAUUAGGCAAUGGGGGAGAGCCUGAUCCAGCCAUGCCGCGUGUGUGAAGAAGGUCUUCGGAGUGUAAAGCCCUUUAAGUUGGGAUGAAGCGCAGUAAGUUAAGACGUUGCUGUUUUGACGGUAACAACAGAAUAAGCACCGGCUAACUACGUG